AAGAGUCAAGAACAUUAUUUAGAUGAUACUGUAGAGAUGAACUCUUCUCUGGGCUUAGUGACUGUGGUACUCUUAGUGCUUGGACAAACCCAUGGAGACUCGGUGACCCAGACAAAAGGCCAAGUGACUCUCUCAGAAGGGGCUCCCCUGACUGUGAAUUGCUCCUAUGAGACCAUACUGUUCCCUGCUCUUUUCUGGUAUGUUCAGUAUCCUGGAGAAGGUCCACAGCUCCUCCUGAAAGCCACAAGGGUCAACGAGAGUGGAAGCAGCAAAGGAUUUGUAGCCACAUACCAAAAACAACCAAAUGCCUUCCACUUGGAGAAAGCCUCAGUCCACCAGUCAGAUUCUGCAAUGUACUACUGGGUGAUAGGGAUGAACGUGGAGCAGAGUCCUUCAAUCCUGAGCCUCCAGGAGGGAACCAGCUCUACUCUGAGGUGCAAUUUUUCUACCACAGUGACCAAUGUGCAGUGGUUCCGACAGAAUCCUGGGGGCGGCCUCAUCAAUCUAUUUUACAUGACUUCAGGGACAAAGCACAGUGGAAGGUUAAGCUCCACACUGAAUUCUAAGGACCGGUACAGUACCCUGAGCAUCACAGCCUCCCAACUGGAGGACUCAGCCACCUACCUCUGUGCAGCGGAGGCACAGUGCUGCCAGGUGAUCUGCAGCCUGUACCCAAACUGCAGCUGGGCCUGGAGCCCCAGCCCUUCCACGGGCAGGCAUGUUGUCCCACAUUAG
Non-coding RNA from Myotis brandtii (Brandt's bat), 735 nucleotides. The record is from the annotation of a RefSeq genome assembly. NCBI's taxonomy places the organism in Eukaryota, Metazoa, Chordata, Mammalia, Chiroptera, Vespertilionidae.